GAUGAACGCUGGCGGCGUGCCUAAUACAUGCAAGUCGAGCGAACAGACGAGGAGCUUGCUCCUCUGACGUUAGCGGCGGACGGGUGAGUAACACGUGGAUAACCUACCUAUAAGACUGGGAUAACUUCGGGAAACCGGAUCUAAUACCGGAUAAUAUAUUGAACCGCAUGGUUCAAUAGUGAAAGACGGUUUUGCUAUCACUUAUAGAUGGAUCCGCGCCGCAUUAGCUAGUUGGUAAGGUAACGGCUUACCAAGGCAACGAUGCGUAGCCGACCUGAGAGGGUGAUCGGCCACACUGGAACUGAGACACGGUCCAGACUCCUACGGGAGGCAGCAGUAGGGAAUCUUCCGCAAUGGGCGAAAGCCUGACGGAGCAACGCCGCGUGAGUGAUGAAGGUCUUCGGAUCGUAAAACUCUGUUAUUAGGGAAGAACAAAUGUGUAAGUAACUAUGCACGUCUUGACGGUACCUAAUCAGAAAGCCACGGCUAACUACGUG
Molecule: ribosomal RNA, 497 nt
Filed under: uncultured bacterium
Lineage: Bacteria
Description: partial 16S ribosomal RNA
Rfam family: Bacterial small subunit ribosomal RNA
Source: RNAcentral